AUGUUCUGCCUCGACGUGCCAUUCUCUGAAUCAGAGAUUUGGGUGGCCGUCAAGCGAGUACCAGAUGGGAAGGCACCGGGACCCGAUGGGUUCAUCGUCAAGUUUCUCCAUGCAUGGUGGGACAUCGUCAAGCAGGAUAUUUGUGACAUUUUCCACAAUCUCUAUCUGAUGAACGGCGGUGGCUUCCAUAAGUUGAAGGAAGCGCUUCUUACCUUGCUUCCCAAGAAGGACGACGCCUCGUAGUUGUUCGACUACCGCCCCAUCAGCCUGAACCAUCUCCUUGCGAAACUAUUCGCCAAGGUGCUAUCCCUGAGGCUGACCCCUCACCUUGGUAAUAUCGUCUUGGCCAACCAGAGUGCGCUCAUCGCCGGCCGUGGCGUGCAUGAUAACUUCAUGCUAGUGCAACAAAUCACUCGCCUCCUCCACAACCUCAAGGCCCCGCACGUGCGCUGA
RNAcentral lists this ribosomal RNA (453 nucleotides) under Triticum aestivum (bread wheat). RNAcentral's name for it is "partial small subunit ribosomal RNA". The record is from RNAcentral. Lineage: Eukaryota; Viridiplantae; Streptophyta; Magnoliopsida; Poales; Poaceae.